GGCCUCGUGGCCUAAUGGCAUGGCGUUAGAUUUCGGUCAUAUCCCCCCCACCUCUUUGUGAUUGUUCAAGAUAAACAUUCACGAAAACAACAAGGGUUAAAAUUUGACUUCUCUAAAGAUUGUCGGUUCGAAUCCGGCCGAGGUCG
This is a non-coding RNA of Xylaria sp. CBS 124048, 146 nucleotides long. The record is from the annotation of a GenBank genome assembly. NCBI's taxonomy places the organism in Eukaryota, Fungi, Ascomycota, Sordariomycetes, Xylariales, Xylariaceae.